RNAcentral lists this ribosomal RNA (253 nucleotides) under uncultured bacterium. RNAcentral describes it as "partial 16S ribosomal RNA". It matches the Rfam family "Bacterial small subunit ribosomal RNA", at positions 524 to 776 of the family's 1533-position model. The record is from RNAcentral.
UACGUAGGGGGCAAGCGUUGUCCGGAAUCAUUGGGCGUAAAGCGCGUGUAGGCGGCUCGGUAAGUCUGCUGUGAAAGUCCAGGGCUCAACCCUGGGAUGCCGGUGGAUACUGUCGAGCUCGAGUCCGGAAGAGGCGAGUGGAAUUCCUGGUGUAGCGGUGAAAUGCGCAGAUAUCAGGAGGAACACCAAUGGCGAAGGCAGCUCGCUGGGACGUGACUGACGCUGAGACGCGAAAGCCAGGGGAGCGAACGGG